RNAcentral lists this long non-coding RNA (3489 nucleotides) under Citrus x clementina. RNAcentral describes it as "Citrus clementina (C. clementina) long non-coding RNA (CCLE_LNC006645)". Lineage: Eukaryota; Viridiplantae; Streptophyta; Magnoliopsida; Sapindales; Rutaceae. The record is from RNAcentral.
CUUUUGCAGAAGAAAUUUGUUCAGCACCUUGAAUCUGAACUUGGACUUUCAAGGUUGUGGGCAAAUUGGGGUCUUGGAGAGAAAGAUUGAAAUUGGGAUAGAAAGUGAGUAAAACACUUCCUGCAUGAAGGGUUGUGAGGACAGUACCGAUAACAGCAUCUUGGUACUGUUUAAACCGGGUAUCAAGCAUAGCAAGUCGAGCGGUAACCGGUAAUCCUUUUCUCCCAUGAAGGGUAAGGAUUAAUCUGAUGCCGCCAAGAUGGAGAUGAGUAUAACCUUCUCGUUUCCAGUUGGAGAGCAACUCGGAGGGAAUCUCCAGAGUGACAUAUUGCUCAGCAGAGGUGGCUUGAAGAGCACACUGAUCCAGGCGGGAAGACUGGAUGUAUUCUUUAGGGUGAGGGCGUCUGGUAGAGAUAAGGGUGCGGAUACUGCGGGUAAAGGAGCUAGGUCGUUUAUACAACUGAUAAGGGCUGAGGAGAGGGUAAGAAGAUUCACUGAUUUGGGCGGAUUCAGGGAUGUAGGAGUAUUCUAGAGGAAGGAUGAAGAGGGGGAGGUCGAGGCUGCGGUCUAGGUUUGGGUUUAGGUUUAGGUGGCGGUGGCAAAGGAUUGUCUCUGAAAAGAGUAUGAGUCAUGCCAAAUAACUUGGAAGGGUCAUAUUGUUUAAUAGGAGAGAGCAUAGAGGCAAAAGGAUGGUAAGUUGGACCGAUAGAAGGAAUAAGAGGUGAACUGGUGAAAAGGGUAGGUCUCUGUUUUUCAGAUUCAAUCUGAGCAAGUUCAGCUUUUAAUCGCCUGAUUUCCCUUUCCUUUUGGUCAAAUUCGGGACCAUUGUAUCUGUGGGCUAGCAUGGCUCGUAACUCUGAAUCGAGUUGGCCAAUUCUGGACUGGAGAUUUUGGUGGAUCUGCUGCAUCUGUGCAGAGAUGGAGUCAACCUUUGUCUCAAGCUGUUCAGUUCGUAAACUGAUUUUCUCAACUUUGGAAUUGAUAUUGACCAAAGUAUCAUUCUGUGCUCUAGCAUUUUGGGUUUGCCAGUUGAGGACUGAUUCAAAAGGUUUGGGAGGUUCUAGGUGGCCAGUGGAGGUAAUAGGUGAAGGGAUAAAGGGUUUGGACACAACAUUUCGUUGAGAAUCUGUAUGGGGUUCCAAAGGAGGAAAGGAAGAAGAGUAAUCUGAAGAAGUAGAAGAAAACAUCAUACAAGCCAGUGGUUGGACGAUAGGUGUUGGGUGUGAGAGUGGUGAUGGAAUCUCAGAUUUGCAAUGUUUGGCAAUCCAUGUGAGUUCUUUUCGGUAGAUGGGUAAUGGAGCCGGUGGAGGUGGAGGAUCUGAUGGUGGUUUAGGGUCACAGUGGUGACAUGGAACAGGAGGUUUUUUCUUUUUGGGUUUCUUUUUCCUUGUGGUUGCGUAAUCAUCGUCUUCUUCCCAAUCAUCCCAGCAGGGACAAUUUGGGUCACACAUGCCGGAACCAGGGGCAUCCCAUAGGAAAUGGCCAUUGUGUUUGGCUGGAUAAACAGGGUAGCCUUGAGAAUUAAACCCUGUAAUGGGCAGAUCUUCCUGCGCUGUCUGAACAGCUGUGAUCAUUGAAGAAUAGGUAAAGGAGAGCCUAGGAGGCUCGUGUGGAGCACUGGGGGGUGGUUUAAAAGUCAUUCUGACUGUUCCAUCAUGUCGUCUUUCAAACAUGCCUUCAGAGGUCUGAAUUGGAGCUGUAUUGUUGUGGAACUGUUCAUAGUUGGAGAUCCAUUCAAGAGGCAUAAGCUUGAUGAGCUCAUGACGGGGAAUUUGUCGGGGAAUCUGGAUGAUUGUCGGGAUCUGGUCAGAUUCUGCUAACACCAUGAGGGUGUCAGAGUGGUGUUCUGGAGCGGGUAGAUCUAAGGCAUGAUUUUGAAGCCUGUAGACCAGUUGGUGAUGUAAAGUGGCAACUUUUGCAGAAGAAAUUUGUUCAGCACCUUGAAUCUGAACUUGGACUUUCAAGGUUGUGGGCAAAUUGGGGUCUUGGAGAGAAAGAUUGAAAUUGGGAUAGAAAGUGAGUAAAACACUUCCUGCAUGAAGGGUUGUGAGGACAGUACCGAUAACAGCAUCUUGGUACUGUUUAAACCGGGUAUCAAGCAUAGCAAGUCGAGCGGUAACCGGUAAUCCUUUUCUCCCAUGAAGGGUAAGGAUUAAUCUGAUGCCGCCAAGAUGGAGAUGAGUAUAACCUUCUCGUUUCCAGUUGGAGAGCAACUCGGAGGGAAUCUCCAGAGUGACAUAUUGUUCAGCAGAGGUGGCUUGAAGAGCACACUGAUCCAGGCGGGAAGACUGGAUGUAUUCUUUAGGGUGAGGGCGUCUGGUAGAGAUAAGGGUGCGGAUACUGCGGGUAAAGGAGCUAGGUCGUUUAUACAACUGAUAAGGGCUGAGGAGAGGGUAAGAAGAUUCACUGAUUUGGGCGGAUUCAGGGAUGUAGGAGUAUUCUACAAGAUUUUCAAUUUUAUUAGUAGUAUGAGAAGUGCAAGAUUUCGGUAAAGAAAGAGUGGAAGAAAGAGUAACAGGAGGUGAAGAGGAAGUGGAUGCCAUGAAGGAGAAGUUCUCUCUGCGCCUGAAGUUCUAGAGAUCAAAAUAGAAAAAGCCUUAAAUUAUACCAUUUUGGUCAAGAAAACGUGAAUUUAGAAAACAUGAAAUUUUCAAGGAUGGGUAUGGCUCUGAUACCAGUUAUGGUGAAGUACGUGGCGUUGUUAUACCAGAACUACAACAGUUAAAACUGUUCUUUGGACCAGUAGUCCUCCAUGCUUGCUGCAUUGCGGCCCUUAGUCCCUCCCGUGGCACACUACGUGUUUGAAGGAUUUUCCCCACGAGACAGUGGGCUACAAGCCUUUCCCCCCUCACUUUCAUGUUCCUCCCAAAACUGAUCAUAUUAUCUUCUUCUGAUUGUAGCGUUAUGGCUUCACACUUGCGUAUAAGCUCUUCUGCAUCCAUUGUUUCCCUCUUUAAAGCUCUGAUUGUAGUAAUAAUUGGACUUAUCGUCUUCUCACUGACUAUCUUUUCUUCAUCACUUAUACCCUUCCUCUCUAUUUAAAGCCUCCAACUAUCUCUUUCUGUUCCUUAAGAGAGCCCUUUUUUUCAUGGUUGAAAUUUUACACCCAACCUGUAGGUGACAAAUGCGGAUCCAGUACAGAUCCCUGUAUGAUUCCUAUCUGGGUUUCCUUCCUCGGAGGGAAGGGAUAGAGCCCAGAGGAAAAGUUUAACGUUUUCUAAUAAAUAGCAUUUUCUUGUGUACUUUUAUUGAUUUGAUACGUUUUUUCCCCCUUUUGUACUUGGUGCUUUGGAUUUUUUUAAUUCAACAUUUUUAAUAUUAAAAUAUUAUUUUGUAACAACUGAGUUUUGUCCUUAAUUAUAAAAUUUUUGCUGUAUACAAAAAAUUUCCAGGAUAAGGCACUUGUGAAUUACAAUAUUGAGAUAUGAUGCAGUUUUUACAGUAAAAAAACUAGGGAAAUAAUAUAAUAAGAUGAGCAUAGUAAUUUAU